Molecule: long non-coding RNA, 3044 nt
Organism: Chenopodium quinoa (quinoa)
Lineage: Eukaryota; Viridiplantae; Streptophyta; Magnoliopsida; Caryophyllales; Amaranthaceae
Exons: 2
Source: RefSeq, a predicted model, not a curated record
UAUUUUACAAAUAUAAUUAUAGUUGAUCAUUCAUUCAUGGGUAGAUGAUUGAAAUAACAUAAUACACCAUUGUUUUUCACAUAUAGAGUAUGUUUCUAUAAUACUCUUAAUUCUAUCUCAAAAUAUCCCAAAUUAUGAAAUAGCAAGUCAAAAUAUGAUUUGUAGCACUUGAGACAAAAUUUAUCUUAAAAUUCAAUAAAUUAUCUGGACAUAGCACGAGCACAACACUAGUUUGUAUUAAUGAUAUACUUUAGCCAGCUCAUCUAUAGCAUUAUAGCAUAAAAUUCAAAAUCUACACUUGAUUUGGAAUACAAUCAAUUCCCAAAAAAAAAAAUUAAUAAAUAAAUAAAUAAAAAUACUCUCAAAACUAACAAAGAUCACAAAUUUAAAAACUCAAUUAGCAUAGUUUCUUAAUCUAGUACCCAAAAAAAAAAAAAAAAAACUCGCAAAGAAAGACGAAAAUCACUAAACUACCCAAAUUCGGGCAUAAAACCAAUUGUUCUUGGUUGAUCUGGUCACCGUCUUUCUUAUAUAGCUUUGCAAAAUCACUUCUGUUUCCUUCUCCCAAUUACUGCGUUUACUCUUCUCUGUGCUUCUAGAUCUCUGGAUUCUUAUUCUCUCUCAUCCAUAAUUUUAAUCAUCAAGAUCAAAUUCAGCCCCACCCAAAUCCAUUACAAAAGUAAAUGUCAGGAUGUAAAGGUGUAGCCCAAUGGAUUUUUUAACCUCACAUUGUAUAUGGGUCCAUGACUCCGUGAGAGCGUGAUGCAUUCCGCCUUUAGUCGUCCUUCACCGAAUGAGCUGCCACCUUCAGUCAAUCACUAAAUCAAUCUGUGUCUCCGUGACGCUUUAGUGAGUUCAGUCCUUCACCAUUACGCGGUAUUUACGCCUCGGUGGUUCCGGCGUUCGCCAGUUGCCCAGCUGUUGAUUGUCUGGCGAGCUUGCCUUUCCGGUUAGUCGGUUUCCUUUAAAUCUUUAAUGCCUAUUUCUGCCUUGCUGGCUUGCUGUGAUUGUGAAUGCUCAAUGCUGUCUUUCAUGAUUUCAAUUUCAUUGCUGUCGAUUGUCGAAUACUCAAAAUUGUCUAAUUGGAAUUUGUGAAUAUUGUUGAAAUUGUCUAAUUGUGAUUGGAAUUAUGUUGGGUUAAACAAUAAUUGAAGAAGACCUCUUAUUGUUGGAAUUAUUCCUCUUAAUAUUUCCUUAAUUUUAAAGCAAAAAAUUAAAUUGCAUAGAGCAAGAGUGAUUUGUAAAGGAUUACAAGGCUCAUUUAAAAUUUACAUAGAAGCUAAAAAUCCCUACUUAAAGAAACUAACUAAAACAUAGCUCUUGCAAAAGGGCAAAAAAAAAAAAAAAAACUCAAAAAAUGCUAACAACAUAACUUAGAUCAUUAUAUACAGUCAUACAAAUAAUGUUUGAAAGCUUAGUCCAUAAAUGCAAUCCAAGGAUCUCUAAUGUUGUCAUAUAAAAUUUAACUCUAAACACAUUGAAAAAUUAAGCAGCCAAAAAAGUUGCCAAAAGAGCUUACACGAAAUUUCACAUAUGCAAAUUGCCAAAGUAUGAAAACUCAUAUAAUGCUUUUGUAGUUUUUUUUCUUCAUUUUUUUUAUGGGUAAUCUAUUUGUAAUCCACGAUUUGAACUUAUGUAUUGAAUAUUUAAUUAUUAUAAUUUCAUUCUUUUGUUAAUUACGAUUCCGAACCGAACCCACACUUCGUAAAUCCUGGAGACGCCACUGGUUCUUGGUUGAUCUGAUCACCAUCUUAUUUAGCUUUGCAAAAUCACUUCUGUUUCCUUCUCCCAAUUACUGCGUUUACUCUUCUCUGUGUUUCUAGAUCUCUGGAUUCUUAUUCUCUCUCAUCCAUAAUUUGAAUCAUCAAGAUCAAAUUCAGCCCCACCCAAAUUUAUUACAAAAGGUACUAUUAUUGCAAAUCAAUUGAUUAAUUUUGCUUCAUUUUUUGACUUUUUGUUUAGAGAUUCUAAUUUUUUCCUUCAAUUGUUCAUCUGGGUGUUUGAUUAAUGUUGUUAAUUUUAGACAUAUUAUAGGAAAUUGAUCUGGGUUUAUGAGCUUUUUUGUUAAUUUUGAGUGUAUAUUGUUGUUGGGUUUUUAUGAUUUUAUAGAUUUGUAUUUAUAAUGGUGCUGAUUUUUUUGGAUAGCGUAAAUAUUUGAGGUUUAUGUUUGUAUCAUUGACCUGCAGAUUGUUGAGCUUGCAAUUAAGGCUCAUUGUUUAGGUUUUUGACUUCUUGUACUUCUUAUAAGUUAUUGGUCUGGAUAUUAGAGCUCUCACGUCAAUUCAGAAGUCUUAAAUCGGUUUUUAAUUUACAUUUUUUGUUCUUUAUGCUUAGAAACUUGCAGUUUUGUUUGAUUUCGGGUUUCGGCUUUAUGCUCUUAGUAAUCAAUCUGAUUCAAUGUAUAGCCAGUAAUAUAGUCUCAUAUUCUAGUUUCUUUGUCAAGUUCUUCCCAUUAUUUCCACAAAUAUAUGAGCUUGCUCGCCAAUUUUGCAUCAAUAAUGUGCUUCUAGAAUUAUCUGAUUAAAUUUUGCUCAUUCAUAUGUGUAUGAUUCUGGUUGGUUGUCUAUGUUUUCUUGGUGAUUUAUCACACCCCAUCUGACCUUUCUCUCUACCUCUUUUAACCUUUUGAAUUGAACCUUGAGAGGAAGAUUUUGGUUUCGUUUAAAUUGAAGUUGUGGCGAUUUUUGUUUGUGAACAAGGGUUACUUCAUUCAGUUACAUGUGAUUGAGCUAUGGAUGAGUGUUGCUGUUGAACCUCUUUGCCCAUAUCCAUGAAAAUGAGAGCAUAUCCUGAAUUUGCUCUAACCUAUCACCUCUGGCAAACUUUUUUUUAUUGAUGUAUUAUUCUAGCUAUUCUCACUCGAUUAUUUUUGGAAACCUUUAGUGCAAGUUGCCAAAAUCUCAUUCUAAUCAAGUAUUGUCUCUUUCUGUAGUUAUCCUAUAAUUUUUCUAAUUUCUAUCGCCACAUUUACAUCCCAAGUCUUUAGCACCAGAUUGUUCCAAAAUUGUUAUGAAAAUUAAAUAAAAGAACACUUCAUUUGAAAA